This 253-nucleotide ribosomal RNA is filed under the name uncultured bacterium. RNAcentral describes it as "partial 16S ribosomal RNA". It matches the Rfam family "Bacterial small subunit ribosomal RNA", at positions 524 to 776 of the family's 1533-position model. The record is from RNAcentral.
UACGAAGGUGGCAAGCGUUGUUCGGAUUUACUGGGCGUAAAGGGAGCGUAGGUGGUGCGGUAAGCCCUCCGGGAAAGCUUCAGGCUUAACCUGAAAAGGUCGGGGGGGACUGCCGCGCUAGAGGACGGGAGAGGAGCGCGGAAUUCCCGGUGUAGCGGUGAAAUGCGUAGAGAUCGGGAGGAAGGCCGGUGGCGAAGGCGGCGCUCGGGAACGUUUCUGACACUGAGGCUCGAAAGCGUGGGGAGAAAACAGG